UGGGGAAUAUUGGACAAUGGGUGGAAGCCUGAUCCAGCCAUGCCGCGUGUGUGAAGAAGGCCUUUUGGUUGUAAAGCACUUUAAGCGAGGAGGAGGCUACUUGGAUUAAUACUCUAGGAUAGUGGACGUUACUCGCAGAAUAAGCACCGGCUAACUCUGUGCCAGCAGCCGCGGUAAUACAGAGGGUGCGAGCGUUAAUCGGAUUUACUGGGCGUAAAGCGUGCGUAGGCGGCUUCUUAAGUCGGAUGUGAAAUCCCUGAGCUUAACUUAGGAAUUGCAUUCGAUACUGGGAAGCUAGAGUAUGGGAGAGGAUGGUAGAAUUCCAGGUGUAGCGGUGAAAUGCGUAGAGAUCUGGAGGAAUACCGAUGGCGAAGGCAGCCAUCUGGCCUAAUACUGACGCUGAGGUACGAAAGCAUGGGGAGCAAACAGG
RNAcentral lists this ribosomal RNA (430 nucleotides) under bacterium. RNAcentral's name for it is "partial 16S ribosomal RNA". It matches the Rfam family "Bacterial small subunit ribosomal RNA", at positions 355 to 776 of the family's 1533-position model. The record is from RNAcentral.